GACGGAGGGUGCAAGCGUUAUUCGGAAUCAUUGGGCGUAAAGGGCGUGCAGGCGGCCUAUCAAGUCAGGGGUGAAAUCCCGGGGCUCAACUCCGGAAGUGCCUCUGAUACUGGUUGGCUUGAGUUCGGGAGAGGGAAGCGGAAUUCCGGGUGUAGAGGUGAAAUUCGUAGAUAUCCGGAGGAACACCGGUGGCGAAGGCGGCUUCCUGGACCGAAACUGACGCUGAGACGCGAAAGCGUGGGGAGCAAACAGG
RNAcentral lists this ribosomal RNA (253 nucleotides) under uncultured bacterium. RNAcentral describes it as "partial 16S ribosomal RNA". It matches the Rfam family "Bacterial small subunit ribosomal RNA", at positions 524 to 776 of the family's 1533-position model. The record is from RNAcentral.